AGUGAACGCUGGCGGUAGGCCUAACACAUGCAAGUCGAACGGCAGCACAGGAGAGCUUGCUCUCUAGGUGGCGAGUGGCGGACGGGUGAGGAAUACAUCGGAAUCUGCCCAGUCGUGGGGGAUAACGUAGGGAAACUUACGCUAAUACCGCAUACGACCUUCGGGUGAAAGAGGGGGAUCGCAAGACCUCUCGCGAUUGGAUGAGCCGAUGUCGGCUUAGCUAGUUAGCGGGGUAGUGGCCCACCAAGGCGACGAUCCGUAGCUGGUCUGAGAGGAUGAUCAGCCACACUGGAAGUGAGACACGGUCAAGACUCCUACGGGAGGCAGCAGUGGGGAAUAUUGGACAAUGGGCGCAAGCCUGAUCCAGCCAUACCGCGUGGGUGAAGAAGGCCUUCGGGUUGUAAAGCCCUUUUGUUGGGAAAGAAAUCUUUCAGGCUAAUACCCUGGGAGGAUGACGGUACCCAAAGAAUAAGCACCGGCUAACUUCGUG
This 490-nucleotide ribosomal RNA is filed under the name uncultured bacterium. RNAcentral's name for it is "partial 16S ribosomal RNA". It matches the Rfam family "Bacterial small subunit ribosomal RNA", at positions 29 to 507 of the family's 1533-position model. The record is from RNAcentral.